Megalobrama amblycephala (Wuchang bream) is the source of this 373-nucleotide non-coding RNA. RefSeq annotates it as small Cajal body-specific RNA 2. The transcript has a single exon. The record is from RefSeq and is a predicted model, not a curated record. Lineage: Eukaryota; Metazoa; Chordata; Actinopteri; Cypriniformes; Xenocyprididae.
GUGUUCGUGUGGAGAGCGUGAGAGAGUUGUUUGUGUGCAUGAAUGAAUGAAUGAAUGAAUGAAUGAAUGAAUGAAUGAAUGAAUGAAUGUUUGUGUUUUGUGAAUGUGUGUGAGAAUGAGACCUUUUUAAAAAUCUACACCAUGAUCUUAUUUGAUCUUAUCCGAGUUGUUGCCCUGCUUGGAUACAGAGAUGAUAGUAACCGACUCGGGAGCUUCAGUAGCGAUGAUCGUGAGGCUUUUUCACUCAGGGCAUCCACAGUUAAACUGUGGUAAGAAAUGAUGAAUCGAUCAGAUAUACUAGAGCAGGAAGGUGCUGGAUCUUGAUCCAAAACGCCCUGUUUGUUCACUGAGUAUAACAGCGAUUCUGAUCUCA